GGAGUCUGGUCCGUGUCUCAGUACCAGUGUGGGGGUUUAGCCUCUCAGCUCCCCUAGACAUCGUCGCCUUGGUAAGCCGUUGCCUUACCAACUAGCUAAUGUCACGCAUGCCCAUCCCGUACCACCGAAGCUUUAGUCACCUGACCAUGCGAUCCAGUGACUCCAUGGGAUAUUAGUGGAAAUUUCUCUCCGUUAUCCCCCUGUACAGGGUAGGUUGCAUACGCGUUACGCACCCGUGCGCCGGUCGCCAGCAGAGUAUUGCUACUCCCUGCUGCCCCUCGACUUGCAUGUGUUAAGCCUGCCGCUAGCGUUCAUC
This 316-nucleotide ribosomal RNA is filed under the name uncultured Bacteroidales bacterium. Its description in RNAcentral is "partial 16S ribosomal RNA". Lineage: Bacteria; Pseudomonadati; Bacteroidota; Bacteroidia; Bacteroidales. The record is from RNAcentral.